UACGGGGGGGGCAAGCGUUGUUCGGAAUUACUGGGCGUAAAGGGCUCGUAGGCGGCCGACUAAGUCGGACGUGAAAUCCCCAGGCUCAACCUGGGAACUGCGUCCGAUACUGGAUGGCUUGAAUUCGGGAGAGGGAUGCAGAAUUCCAGGUGUAGCGGUGAAAUGCGUAGAUAUCUGGAGGAAUACCGGUGGCGAAGGCGGCAUCCUGGACCGACAUUGACGCUGAGGAGCGAAAGCUAGGGGAGCAAACGGG
This 253-nucleotide ribosomal RNA is filed under the name uncultured bacterium. RNAcentral describes it as "partial 16S ribosomal RNA". It matches the Rfam family "Bacterial small subunit ribosomal RNA", at positions 524 to 776 of the family's 1533-position model. The record is from RNAcentral.